Molecule: long non-coding RNA, 152 nt
Organism: Oncorhynchus keta (chum salmon)
Lineage: Eukaryota; Metazoa; Chordata; Actinopteri; Salmoniformes; Salmonidae
Exons: 2
Source: RefSeq, a predicted model, not a curated record
AGGGGAAUCACCCACCUGGUGUCCCAGGUCUAAAUCAGUCCCUGAUUAGAGGGGAAUCACCCACCUGGUGUCCCAGGUCUAAACCAGUCCCUGAUUAGAGGGGAAUCACCCACCUGGUGUCCCAGGUCUAAAUCAGUCCCUGAUUAGAGGGG